This is a long non-coding RNA of Daucus carota subsp. sativus, 5771 nucleotides long. RefSeq lists it as uncharacterized. The record is from RefSeq and is a predicted model, not a curated record. The transcript is spliced from 2 exons. Lineage: Eukaryota; Viridiplantae; Streptophyta; Magnoliopsida; Apiales; Apiaceae.
UAGAAUAAUUUGCAUAUGCUAUCGGGCCAUCUGAAACCAAUACCAGUUGGGCUGCCUUACGAUUACAACUUUACAAGUCUACUGUUUUGGGCUAAACUCAAAUCAGAGCGUGCAGGAACGCGGCGGCGUUACUCACCGGACCCUGCUCGCAUAGCAGCUGCGUGUAUGUAUAUAUUGCACUAAACUUGCAAUCUUUUUCUUACUUGUUCACUGAAUUACUGUCUUAUGUGUCUAAUGUCUUUAUUACCAAACCCUAUUUUUCAUUUUUGCUUACAUAACCUUUGUUUGUAGCUCUUAAAUCCAGUAUCUUUGUGUAAUUUUUGUUUUAUUUUAGAGUUCACAAACUAAAUGGGUGUAUAAAGAUUUCCAUCUUUAAAUUUGAUUUCUAUGCGUAUAUAGAUUCUGCAAAUUAUUUGUGCACAUUUUGUAUACAUUGUUAUGCACAGUAUUUAAACUGUGAAGAAUGAGACUAUAUAGAUGUUAUUUGAAGAGUGGACAAUGAGGAGAAAUUGUAUAAUGUGCCUGAUUCUAUGCCCACGAAGAUUGCUGCCCGGCUUUAUGCCGCUGGUUGGUUUUUUUCUGGCUGGAGUUUGAUGGCUUCCUUACUCAUCUGACUGUCUUUAGCUCUUGGGUUUCUACUUUUUUAAUACUAUUUUUUUAUGCUUUGUAACAUCUACAUUCUAAGGGGCCGUUUGGUUCGCUUUGGGGAAACGGAAUGGAAUCCGGAAUGGAAUGGAAUUGUAAUUGGUCGAGUUGUAUAAGUGUUAAUGUUAACUUAUAUUUUGUGGGAGCUCUAUUCCCCAAAUACUUUAAUAUGAAUCCAUUUUCAAUGGUAAAUUUUAGUAUCUUCAGUAAUGUUAAUCCUUUUUUAAUUUUUACGUAGAAAUAACCCCUCUACUUCUAGUAAGACAGGCAAAGUCUGCUUAUUUCUAACAGUCAUCUGAUGCUACCUGACUCACCUAAUAUAUUUGGUCUAAUUUUAAUAUACCUGCAUUGCUUUUUUUUGGAAUUUUAAUUGCUUAUUACCACCUAAACCCUGUUCCUUUUCACCUGUUCUGUGAUACUCAAUUGUCUGUGUCCUCUCAAAAAAGUUUUCUUUCGCUAAAAGAACUGAGUAGUUUGAUUGUACACUAUUUAGGGGCUGCACACCACAAAUAGUGAAAAAGAUUAGACAAUUAUAUAUAUGUUUACUUGAACUAAUUGUGAUUGCGUAGCUGAGUUCAGAACUGACUUACUAUAACUUGAGAUGAUAAAAAAUGAAGGGUCCCGGUCCCUAACAAUCAUAUGUCAGGGUAUACUACCAGCGGAUAUAAACCGCUAGAUGCAUUAACCCUAAGUUGUUGAUGCAUAUAUGGGGGUGGUACAGUAUCAUCCAACGGAAAACUGACCCAUUUUAGUGUUUCUGUCGUCCAACUCUUUUUUUUUGCUGAACAUAUGUUACUAAUAAUCUGGACCAAUGCCCAAAAAUGAAUAUAUGAAUGGUAUUGUUGCUGUUUGCAACAAUAGCUUUUUUGGUGAGCAUAAAAAAUUGAUUGGUAAAUUUCACAGGAAAAGUGUUUUUGGGUCUAAAGAUGCUUUUAGAGAAAGCAUGUCUUUUUUUUCCUUGCCCCCAUACUUUUGAAGAAUGCUGUUUUUCAGCUUAUGUAGAGUUUGUCAAACCUCACCAAAGACAUUAAUUUUUUAUAUUAUACCUCAAGAUAUGCACAUAUUAAAAAUGUUACCGAACAGUAUUUCUCCACCAACUUUUUUUUUUGCAACACUAUUUUCACAGCAUAACAGUUUUGAACAUUACUCCCAAACGGAGUCGAAGAGAGGAAAAUGAUGAGUCAUAGCAGGUACUUAUGAUGGUAAUUAUUGUCUAGAUAUUCUCCUGGUGCAGCCCAAAGUGGCUGUGCUGAGAUUCUAUGCUGCGCCGCUUGAUUGUGUAAACAUUGCUCUCUGAUUCCCUCUGUCAUCGCUAUUUUUAAAUGAAUUUCAAUAAAUUUUUACAAAUAUGCAUUAGUUGGUUUCUCAUUUUCCAUAAUCUUUUUAUGAAAAAUUUACAACUUUAACUAUUUCCUACCUGUGUUAAUAUUCUUUGCUUUAAUAUUAUCAUGCUGAUUUGUUGAAAUUUGUACGUGUUCACUUUUGGAGUUACGCAACAUACUGUUUUUUUAACAUGCUGCUAUUAUCAUAGCUUUUAUGUGUUGCUUGUGUAUUUUUUUCAAAAGGUUAAUUAAUUAGUUUAAAGUCAAAAUAUUAUAAUGUUUUAAAACACUUAUACAUCGAAAAGGCUAUGUUAGGAGUUCAUUGCAUUGUAAGUUGUAUCUGUGAAUCGAAUUGCCUAUGAUAUCUGUAUAAAAUUGUUUACAUUUAUAAGAUAAAGAUGAACAUAAAUUUUAGAUUCUAGACCACAUUCAUGGUUCUCCUACUCUAAUUUCUCUCUCGCAAACUGAUUAUAAUUUAAAACUACAUUUCCAUCACAUAUUCUGUUGCACUUUUGGGCACCUGUGCAAUAGCUGGAUUUGAGCUGAAAUUCCAAGCUGGUUAAAGAGCGUAUGCGUAUGCGUAUGCGUUGUAUAUACAUUAAUGAAUAAUAUCAUCCUCUAGAGUCUAGAUUGUUAACAUCUUGUGUGCGUUGCACGAUAAGAAGGCCUGAUCAUACUCUGUGCUAUUUCCAUCAAGGCCCUCAACUCAAGGAUAAUCCUUGAGUAGCUCACUAGCAGGAUUUACUCAAGCUGGUUUGAUACCUAAGUCAACUUGCGGUCAAGGUGUCAGCCUUUUCCUCACCAUUGUGGCAAUUCGUGAUGUAGACUGCACUCUUAAUAGACUACAAUGCAAUCUGUUACAUGUUCUUUUGUCACCAUCAGGUUAUAUUGUUACUUGGAGACAAAAAAGGCAAUCUACUUCUGUUGGUCCUAUGCAAAGUACAGGACAAUGGCAGUCUGGCAGAUGCUUGCUGACAGCUUACUUUGAUUGUUUUACACCUCACUGAACUACACUCUAAAUCUUCCACACCUGCCUCUAUGUAAUAGUAACUUAAUAAAUCAGCUUUACACAUCGCCUUUAAUCACACAUAUAUUCCAUCAUAGGGCUCAGAUUAUAGAUAUUGAUUGUCACCUAGGCAGACAAAAAUUACAGACAGGUAUAGUUUGUACUCAAUUCAUACCUUCUUUUGAGAACCUGUAGAAAGUUUGGAGUUCGCAACUUGUGAUUCCAUCGUCUCAGGUACAGAAAUUUGUUUGGCACUCCUAGCUUGAGGGGGUAGACAAUGAUACUAUGUUCAUUGUAGAUUUAGUUCACAUCUUGCAACUAGUCAAGUUUAAUGUCAGUUCAGAUAAUGUGUGCAAAACUUGUUAACUAGCUUAACAAGAAUCCAGCUGAAUAGUUGCGGUUGUCAUCUUCAUUGAAUAUUAAAUGAAAAAUAUUGUUUGAUAACAAAUAUUUAGGAUGUCUAAAUGACAUUAUUUUUCUAUUUUACUUCAAAUCAAUGAUGUUGUUUAUUGAACAUAUUGUGGUAUAAUCUUCUGUAAAGUUAUAGUAAGACAUGUACAAGUAGGUUAUUAGUAAAAAAAAUUUAAAGUUGAUAGUUUGUGGUACACACCUUUUGAUUGUUAAUAAUACAAUGAUAUGUAAUUAAGUAAUUAUGUAAUGAUAAAAAUAGUUUUUUAUGUGUUUGCUUUCAACUGUAUUUGUAGCUUUAAAACUAUGUUAAGAAUGAUAAUAAAGUUUUUUUUUUAAAGAAUAUAAUAAUAUGAUAGUAUGAUUAAAAUUUAAUUUGAGUUCUAUAAGUAUUUAACAUUUUUAUAAUUGAAUAAAACCAUUUACCUUCAUAUCGUGAAGGUUCCUUUUGGAACUCUUCAUUCUGUGAGUUCACAAAACUUGUAAUAUGGAACAUGCUUAAUAUUGAAGAAGUUAUAAUUAAAUAAUAUUAUGUUUUAUAUUAUGUUAGUAGAUUUUGUUUUUAUUUUAUUAAAAUUCUUAUAAAUCGUAGUGAAACAAUUUGAAACUCGUAAGACUUUUUACUGUAAAGAGGAAGUUCGUAAAUUAGAGUCAAAUCUGAUAGCUAAAGAUACUGGAUGAAAUUAUUUAGAAAAUUCUCUUCAGAAUGUAGCUAAGAUCACUACGGUGAGAGUGUGAGACUUUGACGAAAUACCUUCCCCUUUUACCUGCUAUCAGUACUCAGACUAGGUAUAAGUGUAUAACCUAUAGCUUUUUUCAAUCUAGAUUUCUUUCUAAAUUUUAAGUUCAUCAACCUGUGUGGUGUUGUACCUAUGUUGUAGGCUUGUAUUACAAGAGGCCAGCUGCGACUUUGACCAUUCAUCCACUCUCAUCUUAGUUUGCCGAUACUGGUAUGUAGCCAAUCAUGCUAGCUCCACAUGUACGCCUUUAGGAAAGGGCUAUAAAGGCACUCACCAGUCACCUUGGCCCCUUUACUGUUCAGCCUUGACGUGCGUAUUACGAGAAUUGGACGUGUUUCAGCAGUGUGCCUUUAUUCAUCAACAUUAGUUGGCAUACAUUAGUUGCCAUGCCCAACCCAAAGCUAUUCUUGAAAUAAGAAGUAGAGCGUGUCAUCAUGACCUACACUCGUUUCUAAUCGGGACUUUUAUGCAACGAAUAUGAUGGCAUCAUAGUAUCUAAUUUGAUUUGUGGAAUUAUAUAUGAUAUGAGUAUAGUUUUAAAUAAUUUCCUGCAGAUGUACAUAUUGAUUUAAAUUUGUGGAAUUAUUAUAAUGAAUUGAGUGUGGUUUACUUUAAUGACGGGGAGCUGAUUGUCUUGGGCUGUUUGGACAACUUUAAUGUGAAGAGGGAAGUUGAGGCACUUUUUACUUGAGGACUUUUGGCCUUCGUUCAACAUACUAGUCCAAAAGUUUCUGUGUGUCAAUCCUCGCUCAAGAACUCUAUUCCUGGUUUGAAGGGAUCGAAUAUGGCUCAAGGUUCUUUGUAGGAAACUAAAAUUUGAUUAGUGGGUUGAUACUAUGAACUGUCCACAUGGGGCCUUGGGUCUUAAGUGGCCUUCGUUGCGGGACAUGAAGGUGGCCUAUAUAUAUGCUUGAUUUGUUAUAAAUUCAACUCAUAAUAACCAUUUCUGCUUAUAACUCUAAGCUUAUAAUUCUUGCUCCAAUACUUUUACUUUACUAAACCAUCAUUUAAUGGCCUCUUUCGUACCCGAAAACUUUGAAUCCGUUGCAAGUUGUGAAUUCAACGUAGAUGGUGCGCUUCUCUUGUCACAAUUUCUUGAUGAAUCAAAUGUAGAAGAUUGUGAAGACGAUGAGCGAUUAACAAGUGUUAUUCGAUCAUUAGAAGCUGAGAUUAUGGAACCUAUUUUGAUGACUGAAGAUGGUGAUUCAUUUAUGGAGCUUGAGUGGGAUGAUAACUUUGUUAUGAUUCGGGAUUAUAUUUUUGACGGGCCAGCAGAAAAUGAAAUGAACAGUCAAGAUUGUUCAACAUCGUCGGAGAGUGAUGAUCUUGAUAACUAUAACUGGAUGGAUAUCGAAGACAUGAUUCAAUCUGGAGUUGGAGAUGAUUAUUGUCGAUAUUCUCAGUACGAUACUAACGAGUAUUAUGUGAACCACAAUAGUUAUGUAAUUAACUCUUUGGAUGAGCAAAGUUAUGGUUCCUUGUGGCAAGAUGCAAAUGUGCUUAUGUAAUUUAAUCAAGCUUAAGAUACUAGUUGUAUCUUGUAUGUGUAUAUUUUCUUUAUCAAGAGAGACAGCUGAUUACUUGGGCAUAUCAAAUGUAUUUGGCUGUUUUGGUAAAUUUAUAUUAAUAGAUUAAUCAUUUUCUUAUCUA